This 433-nucleotide ribosomal RNA is filed under the name uncultured bacterium. RNAcentral's name for it is "partial 16S ribosomal RNA". It matches the Rfam family "Bacterial small subunit ribosomal RNA", at positions 29 to 507 of the family's 1533-position model. The record is from RNAcentral.
AACGAACGCUGGCGGUAUGCCUAACACAUGCAAGUCGAACGAAGGCUUCGGCCUUAGUGGCGCACGGGUGCGUAACGCGUGGGAAUCUGCCCUUAGGUUCGGAAUAACAGUUAGAAAUGACUGCUAAUACCGGAUGAUGACGUAAGUCCAAAGAUUUAUCGCCUGAGGAUGAGCCCGCGUAGGAUUAGCUAGUUGGUGUGGUAAAGGCGCACCAAGGCGACGAUCCUUAGCUGGUCUGAGAGGAUGAUCAGCCACACUGGGACUGAGACACGGCCCAGACUCCUACGGGAGGCAGCAGUGGGGAAUAUUGGACAAUGGGCGCAAGCCUGAUCCAGCAAUGCCGCGUGAGUGAUGAAGGCCUUAGGGUUGUAAAGCUCUUUUACCCGUGAUGAUAAUGACAGUAGCGGGAGAAUAAGCCCCGGCUAACUCCGUG